Molecule: transfer RNA, 85 nt
Filed under: Candidatus Spechtbacteria bacterium SB0662_bin_43
Lineage: Bacteria; Candidatus Spechtiibacteriota
Description: tRNA-Leu
Rfam family: tRNA
About the family: Transfer RNA (tRNA) molecules are approximately 80 nucleotides in length. Their secondary structure includes four short double-helical elements and three loops (D, anti-codon, and T loops). Further hydrogen bonds mediate the characteristic L-shaped molecular structure. tRNAs have two regions of fundamental functional importance: the anti-codon, which is responsible for specific mRNA codon recognition, and the 3' end, to which the tRNAs corresponding amino acid is attached (by aminoacyl-tRNA synthetases). tRNAs cope with the degeneracy of the genetic code in two manners: having more than one tRNA (with a specific anti-codon) for a particular amino acid; and 'wobble' base-pairing, i.e. permitting non-standard base-pairing at the 3rd anti-codon position.
Source: RNAcentral
GCGGGCGUGCUGGAAUUGGUAGACAGGCUACUUUGAGGGGGUAGUGAGGUUUAUCCUCGUGAGGGUUCGAGUCCCUCCGUCCGCA